Long non-coding RNA from Culex quinquefasciatus (southern house mosquito), 2651 nucleotides. RefSeq lists it as uncharacterized. The transcript is spliced from 5 exons. The record is from RefSeq and is a predicted model, not a curated record. NCBI's taxonomy places the organism in Eukaryota, Metazoa, Arthropoda, Insecta, Diptera, Culicidae.
AACAGCCAAAAUCCAAGUCGAGCCAAAUUAGUUCGCGUUUCCAAAAAAAGGUGUCGCAUGGCUCAAAUUAUGGCGCCGCCUAGCGGUGAGACACACCAACUGCUGUGAACAGACUGAAAUAUUGCUUGAGUGACGUAAACCCGAGCUGUCAGAACCGGACUUAGCCAUUUUUGUGUUUGUUUACGUCCCUGCCACGUUUACAAUUUCUCUUGCAUAACAAAAAAAAAAAACAUUUUAUUUCGGUUUUCGCGGAUUUCUUGGGCGUAACGCGGUUCUUUGGUGCCGAGAAAAACUGCCGUUGAUUAAUUUUGCCAACGGUCCGUAAUUUUUGCGCAGAAUUUCGGUUUCGCGAAAGUUGUUCCCAAGGAAUUCGGCAGCUGGAGAAUCCGGACGUUGCCGAACCUGUCGACAACGGGUGUAGCCGUGUCCGGAUUUCCAUCACCGGAAACAUAUUUGGUGCAAAGUCUAGCUGGGAGAGCUGAGAAGAAGAUAGAUGACGAGAAGAAUACGUGAACCAAAAAGUAGUUGCCGGAAGAGUGUCGUGUGCGGUAGUGCAGUGUUUCUUUUUUGCCGCACCGGAAAAAGGACUCUGGACUCACGAAAGGAACUGCUUAAUCUCCCUCGAGCAAGGCCCGCCGGUGUUCGCUUCCGGAGCUGCAGCGUACUGCGGGACUGGAGCCGCUGCUUGCUGGGGAAUUGGUACCGAUUCCGUCGAAUCCGAACCGGGGAACAUACCGGUCAUGGUGUGACCGCAGCAGAACCGAUCGCAACAACUCCCGCUGUAUCGGCAAUCUGGGCCAUCAGACCGGGUCCGAUUCCGCGUGACACAGCAGGGCUAAGAACCUUUUUCUGAGGAAAACAAGAAAUUGGGAUUUACACUUCGGACAGUAAAAAGUGAUGAAGAAAAAAAACAACAAAAGCAAAGAAGAAGUUUAUUGGGCGGAUUUGGGAAAAGAGAAAAGGAAAGCCGGAAGUGCCAAUUUGGUGUGUUUACUGUUGAAAAUCAACGUGAAAAUAAUGAAUAUGAGUUAACAAAACGAAAACCCAGUUCGACUUAGCAUUGAGCUGUAAUUCUUGUUGUGAUUUGAUCACCAUCAGCCUUCCUGCGGGUGAUUUGGAGUCUGCCUCCCGGAGUGUCAAGGCAGCUCGGCUUUAAAAAAUGGUAAUUUCGGUCAGCAUAUCCCAACCAGCCCACGUGUUCCGAGUCCACCAGAGUCCAGUUCCAGAUUGAUUCCGCGGAGAAAGCUUCAGAGUAACCGCUCAGAAACACAUGUUGGUCAUCUCACCAUCUAUCACUACAGCGAGAUCCAAACCGGCUUGGAUCUCCCCGAAUAAACCACACUGCCAUGAUCAUCGUCCGUCAUCGCGCACUUCCACCACGACCACGGCGAAGCUUACCGACUGGUAUCCAAGAUCGGUGGCACCGACAAGGUCGACCAGCGCUGCAUCUACAUCAAGUCGACUGCCAUGUCGAUGCUCUUCGAGCCACGAAGCGGUGUUCAUCAUCAAACAGCGCUAUAAAGACUGUUCCGAAUUAAUCUAAUCGACCGGACACGUGGACUUUUCGUCUGAGGCCUAUAUGCCCGGGGUAUGCUUACAGACCGUGACCUUGCUCUGCUGGACCAUCGCAGAGCGGAUCAAGCCUACGCUUCUCAUCAAGCAAAUGGACCACGCGAUGCUGAAACUGCAGCUGGACGCUGAAGAUCUGUACGAGGCCUUAUAUCAUAUCGUGAACGUCAUCACCACCACGGACAAAAUCAACGGUGGCCCGAUGCGGGAUGUGCGUGUCCACCCGAGCAAACAUUCGAAAAUAAGCCGACGGAUCACGAAACUGAUGGUCACGUGGAAGCUGCCGACUGAAAAGCACUGCUUCAGAUAAUAGACAUCUGCCGACGCCCGUGUUCCUCCUUAAGCACCGUGCGAAGGCCAUCAUGCCGAUGAAGCCACCGUUGCCGUCGCCGUCGAGUUCCGCGCUUCUGAUGUCCAUGUCCAAAAUGGUACCGACCUCCAACAUGACGUAUUACGGAAUGGUCCGACUGCACCCGGAAAGCGCGAUUACUUGUCUGGACAGUGUCGAUUCUGGUCAAGACCAUCACGACUUUUAAGGCUGCCCACAAUACGAAGGUGUGGGAUUUCUCCAUGUCGCCCACCGCCCUGGUUGACAUGGACAAUGUGGUCCGACAUGGUCCGCUCGUGGGGCCAAACACCGGCGACCAGACGGUGCUUUCUGCUUGUCGCGGUCAGCAGUACGGCAAGAAUCGAACUGCCAAGGAUUUCUCACUGUCGGAGAAACUAAAUAACCAUUACGGAUCACGGAUUCUUCAAAACUUCCCGAAACAGCCAGAAUGUUGUAGGAAAGUUGCCGGAACCGGUUUCGGUAGCAAGGAAAUGUCCUACCGACAAGACCGAUGGAGUGGAACUCGUCAACAUGCACGUCCGCUGUGGAUCGCCAUGCGAAGCGAGCACGUCAAGCCGCCCGCUGCCUGCCCCGUGACGAGAAGUUAAACUGAACCGUCUACGUCCUCCUUCCUUCCGGUUCCCGUCGAGAUUCCAAGAAAUCGUCCAAAAAGCCCGUAGAAAACAAAACAUUGAAUACCAAAUCAAUAUGCCUUAUAAAUUUACUUUUUAAUAAAACUCACCGUGUUUGGUAA